CACAUGACUAGAUGGGGUGGACUCAUGCUCCAGAUGUCCUGCGCUCGUAUAAGGGUCAGCCACUGAACGGCAAGCAUUUCUUGGACCUAGGCUGCUUCCUGGAAAGGAGUGCUUCAGAUCCAGAGAGCCCCUUCACCAGUUGGCAAUACACCUGCUGCAGUAGAGAAAAGCAUGCUGUACUCCUCCGUCUCUAGCUAUGGAUUAUUCACAACGUGCUGUGCUUAUUUCUCAGGCAGCUCUUCGUCCCAUCUGAUCCCUUCAUCCUGUUUUCGUCAUCAGUUCUUAAUACACAUCAACAUUAGUCUGGAAUUUAGGCUAUUUACAUGGUCAGCUGAUAAGUGAUAGAAACUGUUCCAGCAAUAUAACUAUCAAAUUAAAGAAGAUGGGAAGGAAGCUCAACCCUUGUAGCUUGAAAGUUGUUACCACAUAUCUGAGUAGCACAUCAUUUCUAGAUACCUUUUUCAUUGUACUGACAUUUGUAACAACUUAAACCUAAUAAAUGUGAAAUAUAUGACAGGAAAAUGAGAAAUAAUAUUGAGUUGCCACGUGCAAACUCCUUUUUAAAUAAAGACAUUCCAACUUCACCCAUCUGCCACUACUUCGGCUAUCAUCAUAGAUGAGAAUAGCAAAAAUGCUGAUUAUGUUGACAUUGCUAUGGAUUUUGCCAUGAGCAUUAAUGGCAUUAAUCCUUUCUCAAUCACAGAUCUACUUCCCUCCAAUGUGACAUGUUCUAAUCUGUGUCGUACUCUUGUAAAUGUUGUUCUCCUAAGUCAUUCACUAUAGUCCUAAAUGUUGUUCUUUCCAUUACUUGGAAAUAAAAUGAAUUCUGUACUACUUUUUCUGUUUCCCCAUUCUGCACUCCCAGAUACAG
Molecule: non-coding RNA, 871 nt
Organism: Meleagris gallopavo (turkey)
Lineage: Eukaryota; Metazoa; Chordata; Aves; Galliformes; Phasianidae
Source: RefSeq, a predicted model, not a curated record